GUGGGAUUAGCUCAGUUGGUUAGAGCGCCAGGUUGUGGCCCUGGAGGUCGUGGGUUCGACCCCCAUAUCUCACC
Molecule: transfer RNA, 74 nt
Filed under: Candidatus Methanomethylophilaceae archaeon
Lineage: Archaea; Methanobacteriati; Thermoplasmatota; Thermoplasmata; Methanomassiliicoccales; Methanomethylophilaceae
Description: tRNA-His
Rfam family: tRNA
About the family: Transfer RNA (tRNA) molecules are approximately 80 nucleotides in length. Their secondary structure includes four short double-helical elements and three loops (D, anti-codon, and T loops).
Source: RNAcentral